CCUCACUGAAAACUGAAAUGUCAUCAACCUUCUAGCCCAGCAAGUCACAUUAAGUGACUGCAGGUCCACUUGUUUCCUGUAGAGGCAAGUAGUGAAGGUCAUAUACGUUUAUGUGAACUCAACAAACUCCUUCACUGAGAAAAGUGAUUUUGCCAACCUGAUUUGCGGGCUUUGAUUCCCCAGUGUUGUGUUUUUAGUUUCAUGAGUAAUGGUUACACCUGUUGAAGAUUUCAAAAUGGACAAGAUAUUGAUUCCAGGCAUUUAAAUCUUCCAAGUUCUUUGCAACUUUCAACAUCUCAGAGUUUGGAGAGUGAUUUCACCUGUGGAAUUGCAAGAGGGUGAGGCAGUUCACCUGGACCUCCACCUGGACCUCAGGGGAAAAGAUGAACUCUGGUCUCCAUCUGCUCAGCAGUCCACCUUUGGAAUGCUCUUCUGUUCCCGUCGAGCUCUUGGCCUCAUCCUUCUCGAUUGAUGAUCAGCCAGAUAACGUUAGCUCCCGACCAAUCAGACGCCUGGAUACGUACCUCAUCCCACAGUGUCCCAGAGGUUAAGGCACCGACCAUGAACCUCGAGGAAACGGUGGCAGAGGCCAGCAUCUGUACAGCUGCACGUGGAGAGAAGCCCAUGUCAGAUUCAAGAUUGCUGCAGCGACUUUUCCCACUCCUCUGCAGAAUGCUCUAACUCACUAGUCCUCUAUAAUAACAGACCACUGUACUAUGCUGUCAAUAUAGACACCCUGUCAUGUUACGUCAGCGGUACAGUUUAAAAUUAUAGGCUGAUAUGGCUGUGUAUGUGAGGGGGUGUCAAGCCUCAAUAAAU
Perca fluviatilis (European perch) is the source of this 819-nucleotide long non-coding RNA. RefSeq lists it as uncharacterized. The record is from RefSeq and is a predicted model, not a curated record. The transcript is spliced from 4 exons. Lineage: Eukaryota; Metazoa; Chordata; Actinopteri; Perciformes; Percidae.